RNAcentral lists this ribosomal RNA (468 nucleotides) under uncultured bacterium. RNAcentral's name for it is "partial 16S ribosomal RNA". It matches the Rfam family "Bacterial small subunit ribosomal RNA", at positions 28 to 507 of the family's 1533-position model. The record is from RNAcentral.
GACGAACGCUGGCGGCGUGCUUAACACAUGCAAGUCGAACGGAGAAGCCCUGCUUUUGUUGGGUGCUCGAGUGGCGAACGGGUGAGUAACACGUGAGUAACCUGCCCUUUACUUUGGGAUAACGUCAGGAAACGGGUGCUAAUACCGGAUAUGAGCUCGUGCUCCCUGGGGGGGGUGGGGAAGGGGCUGGGGUGGUGGAGGGUCGGGUCGCUUCUCAGCUGGUUGGUGGGGGAGUGGUUUACCAAGGGUUUGUCGGAUAGCCGGCCGGGGGGGGUGACCGGCGACAUUGGGCCUGAGAUACGGCGCAGAGUCGUACGGGAGGAAGCAGCGGGGAAUAUGGCAGAAUGGGCGGACGCCUGAUGCAGAAACGUCGCGUGCGGGAUGACGGCCUUCGGGUUGUAAAAUGCUUUCGCCUGUGACGAAGUGGGAGUGACGGUAAUGGGUAAAGAAGCACCGGCUAACUACGUG